This 30-nucleotide non-coding RNA is filed under the name Mus musculus (house mouse). The record is from RNAcentral. Lineage: Eukaryota; Metazoa; Chordata; Mammalia; Rodentia; Muridae.
UACAGGUUAAGCUAACGAGACAAAGUAUCA